This 85-nucleotide transfer RNA is filed under the name Candidatus Nealsoniibacteriota bacterium. Its description in RNAcentral is "Candidatus Nealsonbacteria bacterium tRNA-Leu". It matches the Rfam family "tRNA". From Rfam's summary of the family: Transfer RNA (tRNA) molecules are approximately 80 nucleotides in length. Their secondary structure includes four short double-helical elements and three loops (D, anti-codon, and T loops). Lineage: Bacteria; Candidatus Nealsoniibacteriota. The record is from RNAcentral.
GCGGAUGUGGCGGAAUUGGAAUACGCGUAGCGUUCAGAACGCUAUGCCGCAAGGCUUGUGGGUUCGAGUCCCACCAUCCGCACCA